UACGAGGGGUGCAAACGUUAUUCGGAAUCACUGGGCGUAAAGGGUGCGUAGACGGCAAUAUAAGUCAAUUAUUAAAUCUCCCAGCUUAACUGGGAGUCUGUGAUUGAAACUAUGUUGCUUGAGGAUGGAAGAGAGAAGUGGAAUUCUCGGAGUAGCGGUAAAAUGCGUAGAUCUCGAGAGGAACACCGAUGGCGAAGGCAGCUUCUUGGUCCAUUUCUGACGUUGAGGCACGAAAGCGUGGGGAGCAAACAGG
RNAcentral lists this ribosomal RNA (253 nucleotides) under uncultured bacterium. RNAcentral's name for it is "partial 16S ribosomal RNA". It matches the Rfam family "Bacterial small subunit ribosomal RNA", at positions 524 to 776 of the family's 1533-position model. The record is from RNAcentral.